This 253-nucleotide ribosomal RNA is filed under the name uncultured bacterium. RNAcentral's name for it is "partial 16S ribosomal RNA". It matches the Rfam family "Bacterial small subunit ribosomal RNA", at positions 524 to 776 of the family's 1533-position model. The record is from RNAcentral.
UACGGAGGAUGCAAGCGUUAUCCGGAAUCAUUGGGCGUAAAGCGUCCGUAGGUGGUUGCACAAGUCUAUUGUUAAAGAGUGGGGCUUAACUCCAUCAAAGCAGUAGAAACUGUGAGACUAGAGAGUGGUAGGGGCAGAGGGAAUUCCUGGUGUAGCGGUGAAAUGCGUAGAGAUCAGGAAGAACACCAGUGGCGAAAGCGCUCUGCUGGACCGACUCUGACACUGAGGGACGAAAGCUAGGGGAGCGAAAGGG